This 2162-nucleotide ribosomal RNA is filed under the name Echiniscus canadensis. RNAcentral describes it as "eukaryotic LSU rRNA". It matches the Rfam family "Eukaryotic large subunit ribosomal RNA", at positions 44 to 1868 of the family's 3401-position model. The record is from RNAcentral. Lineage: Eukaryota; Metazoa; Tardigrada; Heterotardigrada; Echiniscoidea; Echiniscidae.
UAAUAAGCGGAGGAAAAGAAACCAACAGGGAUAUUCUUAGUAACGGCGAGUGAAGAGAAUACAGCCCAGCGCUGAAUCGUAUUGCUUGAAAGGGUGAUACGACAUGUAGCGUGAAACUGGCGGCUGUUGAUGUUGUCGAUGCGUGUAAGUCUUCUUGAGCGGGGCUCAGUCCCAGAGAUGGUGCUAGGCCCGUAUCGCGCGUGACAAGUACAGCAACGCCCGCUUGUGGAGAGUCAGGUUGUUUGGGAACACAAUCUAAAGCCGGUGGUACACUCCAUCGAAGGCUAAAUAUGACCACGAGUCCGAUAGCGAACAAGUACCGUGAGGGAAAAUUGAAAAGCACUUUGAAGAGAGAGCGAAAUAGUGCGUGAAACCGCUUAGAGGCAAGCAGAUGGAUUCUCGAAGGUGUGCAUAGGAUUUAUUUCCUAGUUCUCACGCCACCACUGUUGUUGACGUGCACCAUGCGCUGACAUUUGGACGCUUGAGAUUGGGACUCGUGCCUGCUUGAGACGCUCGGUGUUGGACGUGUUGAGUUUUUGUGGCAUGCAAUAACAGAGCAGAGCAAUUGUCGUCGCUGUAAAGCGCCGACUGUGGCCGCUUGCUGAUGCAUUGUCGUUGUGGCGAGGCGCAAGCUUCGACAUGCGAUAUGUGUUGCAAAUCGGCUAUUAGUACCGGCAAGACGACUUUAAGACUCGGUGGCGAGUAGAUGAAAUUCCAUCUAACCCGUCUUGAAACACGGACCAAGGAGUUCAACAUAUGCGCAGGUCGUUGAGUGUCUGGUAUACUCGAAGGCCUAGUGAAAGCAAGCUACAUCAUUAGGUGGUGUAAUAGCGGCGAGAUCCUGGUGCCUCGUGCAUUAGGCGCAUCGCCGACCCGUUUAAUGGCCACGCGCCAUGGACGGAGUUAGAGCGCAUACGCUGAGACCCGAAAGAUGGUGAACUAUGCCUGGGCAGGAUGAAGCCAGAGGAAACUCUGGUGGAAGUCCGUAGCGAUUCUGACGUGCAAAUCGAUCGUCUGACCUGGGUAUAGGGGCGAAAGACUAAUCGAACCAUCUAAUAGCUGGUUCCCUCCGAAGUUUCCCUCAGGAUAGCUGGUGCUCGAUUUUAAGCAGUCUCUCCCGGUAAAGCGAAUGAUUAGAGGCCUUGGGACCGAAACGGUCUCAACCUAUUCUCAAACUUUAAAUGGGUGAGAAGUCCGGCUUACUUGAUUUGAAGUCUGGACCAUAGUUUGGAUGCAUGAGUGCCUAGUGGGCCAUUUUUUGGUAAGCAGAACUGGCGCUGUGGGAUGAACCGAACGUUGAGUUACGGCGCCUGAUUAUAGACGCUCAUCAGAUACCACAAAAGGUGUUGGUUGCUAUAGACAGCAGGACGGUGGCCAUGGAAGUCGGAACCCGCUAAGGAGUGUGUAACAACUCACCUGCCGAAGCAACUAGCCCUGAAAAUGGAUGGCGCUAGAGCGUUUAGCCUAUACUCAACCGUUGAAGCACAUGCGGCGGUAAGCAAUUGCCGUUUUUCAUGCUUUAUGGCAUACGCAUGCUAGUCAUGCUUCAACGAGUAGGAGGGUCGCGGCGAUAUGCUUUGAAGGCUUAGCGGCGUGAGCCGGGCUGGAGCUGUCGUCGGUGCAGAUCUUGGUGGUAGUAGCAAAUACUCAAGCGAGAACCUUGAGGACUGAAGUGGAGAAGGCUUCCAUGUGAACAGCAGUUGAACAUGGGUCAGUCGAUCCUAAGACAUCGGCGAAGGCCGUUCAGAAGCGGUGUCGGUUAUGUGGCAGUGUGCUGUUUCGGCAGUAUACUGUCCGGCUAUAGGCGCUCGUUCGUUUAUAGUCGCCGCACCUGUCAAAAGGGAAUUGGAUUAAUAUUUCCAAACCUAACAGCGGAGAUUGGUUGCUCAUUUGGCUGCACGGGCCUUGUGCUCGUUGUAGUCGGGGCAACGCGCUGCGGUAACGCAAACGAACUCGAACACGCUGACUGGAGUCCCGGGAAGAGUUGUCUUUUCUUCAUAAGGAGUCGACUCCAUGGAAUUGGUUCAGCCAGAGAUAUGGAGAUGGCGUCCGAAAAGCAUUGCGCUUCUUGCAAUGUCCGGUGCGCUUCAAGCGGCCCAUGAAAAUUCGAGGGAGAGAAUGAUUUUCGUGUUAGAUCGUACCCAUAUCCGCAGCAGGUCUCC